ACACGACCGUACCGCAAACCGACACUGGUGCGCGAGAUGAGUAUUCUAAGGCGCUUGAGAGAACUCAGGAGAAGGAACUCGGCAAAUUGACACCGUAACUUCGGAAGAAGGUGUGCCUUUAGUAGGUGAACCAUUUACUUGGGGAGCCCAAUGAGGCUGCAAAAAAUCGGUGGCUGCAACUGUUUAUUAAAAACACAGCACUCUGCUAAGACGAAAGUCGACGUAUAGGGUGUGACGCCUGCCCGGUGCUGGAAGAUUAAAUGAUGGGGUGCAAGCUCUUGAUUGAAGUCCCAGUAAACGGCGGCCGUAACUAUAACGGUCCUAAGGUAGCGAAAUUCCUUGUCGGGUAAGCUCCGACCUGCACGAAUGGCGUAAUGAUGGCCACACUGUCUCCUCCUGAGACUCAGCGAAGUUGAAAUGUUUGUGAUGAUGCAAUCUCCCCGCGGAAAGACGGAAAGACCCCAUGAACCUUUACUGUAGCUUUGUAUUGGACUUUGAACAGAUCUGUGUAGGAUAGGUGGGAGGCUUUGAAGUGUGGUCGCUAGAUCGCAUGGAGCCAACGUUGAAAUACCACCCUGGUGUGUUUGAGGUUCUAACCUAGGUCCAUUAUCUGGAUCGGGGACAGUGCAUGGUAGGCAGUUUGACUGGGGCGGUCUCCUCCCAAUGUGUAACGGAGGAGUUCGAAGGUACGCUAGGUACGGUCGGACAUCGUGCUAAUAGUGCAAUGGCAUAAGCGUGCUUAACUGCGAGACUGACAAGUCGAGCAGAUGCGAAAGCAGGACAUAGUGAUCCGGUGGUUCUGUAUGGAAGGGCCAUCGCUCAACGGAUAAAAGGUACUCUGGGGAUAACAGGCUGAUACCGCCCAAGAGUUCAUAUCGACGGCGGUGUUUGGCACCUCGAUGUCGGCUCAUCUCAUCCUGGGGCUGUAGCCGGUCCCAAGGGUAUGGCUUUUCGCCAUUUAAAGAGGUACGUGAGCUGGGUUUAAAACGUCGUGAGACAGUUUGGUCCCUAUCUUCCGUGGGCGCUGCAGAUUUGAGGAAGCCUGCUCCUAGUACGAGAGGACCGGAGUGGACGAACCUCUGGUGUAUCGGUUGUCACGCCAGUGGCAUUGCCGAGUAGCUAAGUUCGGAAAAGAUAACCGCUGAAAGCAUCUAAGCGGGAAACUCGUUUCAAGAUUAGAUCUGCCGGGGCCUUGAGCCCCCUAAAGAGUCGUUCAAGACCAGGACGUUGAUAGGUCAGGUGUGGAAGCUA
This 1251-nucleotide ribosomal RNA is filed under the name metagenome. RNAcentral's name for it is "bacterial LSU rRNA". It matches the Rfam family "Bacterial large subunit ribosomal RNA", at positions 1636 to 2876 of the family's 2925-position model. The record is from RNAcentral.